RNAcentral lists this ribosomal RNA (2160 nucleotides) under Escherichia coli. RNAcentral describes it as "bacterial LSU rRNA". It matches the Rfam family "Bacterial large subunit ribosomal RNA", at positions 1 to 2188 of the family's 2925-position model. Lineage: Bacteria; Pseudomonadati; Pseudomonadota; Gammaproteobacteria; Enterobacterales; Enterobacteriaceae. The record is from RNAcentral.
UUAAGCGACUAAGCGUACACGGUGGAUGCCCUGGCAGUCAGAGGCGAUGAAGGACGUGCUAAUCUGCGAUAAGCGUCGGUAAGGUGAUAUGAACCGUUAUAACCGGCGAUUUCCGAAUGGGGAAACCCAGUGUGAUUCGUCACACUAUCAUUAACUGAAUCCAUAGGUUAAUGAGGCGAACCGGGGGAACUGAAACAUCUAAGUACCCCGAGGAAAAGAAAUCAACCGAGAUUCCCCCAGUAGCGGCGAGCGAACGGGGAGCAGCCCAGAGCCUGAAUCAGUGUGUGUGUUAGUGGAAGCGUCUGGAAAGGCGCGCGAUACAGGGUGACAGCCCCGUACACAAAAAUGCACAUACUGUGAGCUCGAUGAGUAGGGCGGGACACGUGGUAUCCUGUCUGAAUAUGGGGGGACCAUCCUCCAAGGCUAAAUACUCCUGACUGACCGAUAGUGAACCAGUACCGUGAGGGAAAGGCGAAAAGAACCCCGGCGAGGGGAGUGAAAAAGAACCUGAAACCGUGUACGUACAAGCAGUGGGAGCACGCUUAGGCGUGUGACUGCGUACCUUUUGUAUAAUGGGUCAGCGACUUAUAUUCUGUAGCAAGGUUAACCGAAUAGGGGAGCCGAAGGGAAACCGAGUCUUAACUGGGCGUUAAGUUGCAGGGUAUAGACCCGAAACCCGGUGAUCUAGCCAUGGGCAGGUUGAAGGUUGGGUAACACUAACUGGAGGACCGAACCGACUAAUGUUGAAAAAUUAGCGGAUGACUUGUGGCUGGGGGUGAAAGGCCAAUCAAACCGGGAGAUAGCUGGUUCUCCCCGAAAGCUAUUUAGGUAGCGCCUCGUGAAUUCAUCUCCGGGGGUAGAGCACUGUUUCGGCAAGGGGGUCAUCCCGACUUACCAACCCGAUGCAAACUGCGAAUACCGGAGAAUGUUAUCACGGGAGACACACGGCGGGUGCUAACGUCCGUCGUGAAGAGGGAAACAACCCAGACCGCCAGCUAAGGUCCCAAAGUCAUGGUUAAGUGGGAAACGAUGUGGGAAGGCCCAGACAGCCAGGAUGUUGGCUUAGAAGCAGCCAUCAUUUAAAGAAAGCGUAAUAGCUCACUGGUCGAGUCGGCCUGCGCGGAAGAUGUAACGGGGCUAAACCAUGCACCGAAGCUGCGGCAGCGACGCUGAUGCGUUGUUGGGUAGGGGAGCGUUCUGUAAGCCUGUGAAGGUGUGCUGUGAGGCAUGCUGGAGGUAUCAGAAGUGCGAAUGCUGACAUAAGUAACGAUAAAGCGGGUGAAAAGCCCGCUCGCCGGAAGACCAAGGGUUCCUGUCCAACGUUAAUCGGGGCAGGGUGAGUCGACCCCUAAGGCGAGGCCGAAAGGCGUAGUCGAUGGGAAACAGGUUAAUAUUCCUGUACUUGGUGUUACUGCGAAGGGGGGACGGAGAAGGCUAUGUUGGCCGGGCGACGGUUGUCCCGGUUUAAGCGUGUAGGCUGGUUUUCCAGGCAAAUCCGGAAAAUCAAGGCUGAGGCGUGAUGACGAGGCACUACGGUGCUGAAGCAACAAAUGCCCUGCUUCCAGGAAAAGCCUCUAAGCAUCAGGUAACAUCAAAUCGUACCCCAAACCGACACAGGUGGUCAGGUAGAGAAUACCAAGGCGCUUGAGAGAACUCGGGUGAAGGAACUAGGCAAAAUGGUGCCGUAACUUCGGGAGAAGGCACGCUGAUAUGUAGGUGAAGCGACUUGCUCGUGGAGCUGAAAUCAGUCGAAGAUACCAGCUGGCUGCAACUGUUUAUUAAAAACACAGCACUGUGCAAACACGAAAGUGGACGUAUACGGUGUGACGCCUGCCCGGUGCCGGAAGGUUAAUUGAUGGGGUCAGCGCAAGCGAAGCUCUUGAUCGAAGCCCCGGUAAACGGCGGCCGUAACUAUAACGGUCCUAAGGUAGCGAAAUUCCUUGUCGGGUAAGUUCCGACCUGCACGAAUGGCGUAAUGAUGGCCAGGCUGUCUCCACCCGAGACUCAGUGAAAUUGAACUCGCUGUGAAGAUGCAGUGUACCCGCGGCAAGACGGAAAGACCCCGUGAACCUUUACUAUAGCUUGACACUGAACAUUGAGCCUUGAUGUGUAGGAUAGGUGGGAGGCUUUGAAGUGUGGACGCCAGUCUGCAUGGAGCCG